This 2841-nucleotide long non-coding RNA is filed under the name Canis lupus familiaris (dog). RNAcentral describes it as "lncRNA (ENSCAFG00845028270.1)". The record is from RNAcentral. Lineage: Eukaryota; Metazoa; Chordata; Mammalia; Carnivora; Canidae.
UAGAAUUCCGGGAAGGCCCAGCCCAUCUCAUUUCAUGUCUCCCUCCAGCCUUUUCCGGUGAUUUGUCACUGCCUGGUGCCUGAGUGAAAGCAGGUUUCAGAAGUGAGCAUCACAGGGAGAAAGAAGAGCUGUGGUCCCCAGGAGUCCUGAACAAGGCAUUUGGGAGCAGUGGGUAGACAUGUGUGACUCCUGGGAACAGAUGGCAUGGCGGCCGGACACUAUAGAGGAGGAAGAGCUGAUAACCAGUGGGACCACUUUCCACCACAGACUUUGGAUUCAACAAUUCAGUUUCUAGAACUUUACAGGUACAACGGGGUUAGGGCACGGAGUAGGUACAACCACUGCCAGACUCUUGAGUCCUGGGAGGUUCCUGGGGACAGGCUUAGGCAGGAACACAAGUGUGCUGGAAUCAGCCCUCCUUCUCUCUCUCAGGAUGUCUGGGCCACAGUCAGGCUUCCUUGGGGCUGCUUCUUUUCCCUCUCGUGCUCUUCACUGGGCUUCUGGUGGCCAUCCUCGUCCAAGGUCAGGUACAGAUGCCCAAGGUCAAGGACUCCCAGGGUGCAGAUGUUACCUGGGUGGGGGGCUAGUUCCCAGAAAGAGAUAAGGCUGAAAGCCAAGAUUUGGGUCCUCCAGGUUUUCCUGGUCAGCUGCCCUGCUUGGUGGCCUCUCCCACAGUCCCUCCCCACUCUGCUGCAGGGGAGGAGGGGGAGGGGGAGGAAUAAGAGGACUCCUGGCUCUUGAUCUCUGGUGCAGAUUUCAUCCACCAUCUUCCCCAUCUUCAGAAAGGAUUAACCAAGAUCUUGACUGAGCAACAAUGUCCCCAAGGGCCUUGUGCAGGGCACGUACACAGCAGAUGUUUAAUAACCACAGAUUUUUUUUUGGCACAAUCUUCAGGGUCCCAGGUCCCAGGAGCUAGAGCCUUUGAAGCAGGAGAUCCAUGAAGAACUGACCCAGCUGAAGGCUGGACUUGGUGACCGGCCAGGCACCAGGGUCCUGGGGGUUCUGGAAGGGUCUCUGGUGUGCUGUGGGUGUGGUGGGACUCUGCUUGAGUAACCGUCCCUCACUCAGCUAGGAACACAGAGUGACAAGGAUGGUUCCCCUUGGUAUUCCCAGGGGCACACAGUAGGCACUAAAUUAAACCAGUCUCUUAUUCUGAGCUCCCUACUUCUCCCAGUCUGGAGGAUAUGGGACCGGGACUCCUAGUUCUCCUGGGCCUGGGGGAGGGUAGCAAGUGGGGGAGGGGGGCGAGCCGUUGGGCAUGGAGAACCAAGGAGGGCCCCCUCCCCGACCCUCAGGGGAUUGAAGAGUGGGCAGACCUGGGGUUAGGGGCAUCAAGCUGAGUCCCAGCCCUGCCACCUGCCCCAUCCCUGGGAGCGGACAUUCUUCUGAGGCAACUGUUACUCCUUCAGCUCCCAACAGAACUAACACGACUCUGUCACUGCCUGCCAGGAAGUGGGGGCCCGACUCGUCGUUACCGAAAGUGCCGGGAAGCAGAUGCAUCUGUCCAGGGAGUCAGCCUGACCUGGGGCAUGCCCCUGGCCACUGGUCCACUGGGCACAAGAGAGCCAGAUGAGAUUUUCUGGAAGAGAGACUGCCUGCUUCACUUGGGGGGGCGGGGGAGGAUAAGAACCAGGCAUCCUGCAAGGAGGUACAAAUGAGAUCUGGACACCUGGGUCUGGGGGACACGUAAAACAUAAAUAAGCUCCGGUGGUGUCCUGACAAAUGGCUAACACUUAGCUCUCUGGAGGGAGCGGGGGAUAAGUCCUGAUUUGGAGUGUUGGCCAGUUUCCCUGGCGUACGUACUGCCACUGUGGCUGAUCUCAAGCCAUUCACGUGAUGCCGUCACUGCGGAGCUGACAAGAUACACGGUGGGGACCUGGCUUGAUUUGACUCCAGCACGUCAAACCCAGGCAUGAGUCAACUCAUGGGUAUAUGCUUGGCACAUGUAAGAGCACACAAACAUGCAGUAUUACCAGGUGUGUGUGCUGAGAGACCAGUUGUGUGCAUGUGUCUGCAAGUCGGAACAUACGUGCUCAUAGGAUACAGAUGUGAGAGGCGCUCAGGACCUGGCCUGGCAGGAAGCGUAAGGUCCCACUGAAAGACGAGCUUGCUGCCAGGCAACUGGAGAGAUGCUGAGCCCAGAAAGUGGGGUCAGAGCCCCCUCCUGACUUCCCUACGUCCACCAGAACUUCCUACAGCUGCAGACUUCCAAGAGAAGCUGCUUCACCUGGGAGACUGGGUGGCUCAGUUGGUUAAGCGGCUGCCUUCGGCUCAGGUCAUGGUCCUGGGGUCCUGGGAUUGAGUCCCACGUCAGGCUCCCUGCUCAGCGAGGAGUCCACUUCUCUCUCUGCCUCUCUCCCCACUUGUGCUCUCUCUCUCUCUAAUAAAUAAAUAAAAUCUUAAAAAAGGAAGGGAAAAAAUCACUUCACCUGCACGGGGCUCUCAGACAUGGAACAUGAAGGCAGAGGGCACUGGGUGGAUGAUUCACCCCUGCUGCCCAGGUGAGUCUUAGGAGAAGGAAACACUCUAUCAAGUGGGAGUGGGAUUCUGAAACCCUUACAUGGGUGUUUACCUGGGUACCCCCCCCCCUCCAUUCCCUGGCCCCUAGGCUGGAGAGUCUGGGAUUCUUUUUUUAAAGAUCCAUACUCAGGCGAUGGUGGCCCUAAGUAUGAGAGCCUGAUAAGGGAGGUAGUUGGGGGUGCGGGCUCUGGAUUGGUUGUUGUGUACUUGAAAUGCAUACCCCAGGGAGGAGGGCUCCUCCAAGAACUGGAGGGGCACAACAAUCAGGGAGACAGGAGACCCCGGCAAGGAGACUCAGGCACUCAUCGGGUUGUCCAGAAU